RNAcentral lists this long non-coding RNA (1895 nucleotides) under Gossypium barbadense (sea-island cotton). RNAcentral's name for it is "long non-coding RNA (GBAR_LNC002253)". The record is from RNAcentral. Lineage: Eukaryota; Viridiplantae; Streptophyta; Magnoliopsida; Malvales; Malvaceae.
AAAGACCAAGUCCCUAUACAUGCCAUACUCAAAAUGAUGAGACUAGCUAUACUAAAUAUUCAAUUGAUAGUGUGAUCGAGUCUCCGACGUCUUCUAAUCCCCAAGCUAGCUUGGCGACACUAUAAGAAAGAGAAAGGAAAUGGGGUAAGCAUUAAAGCUUAGUAAGUUCACAUGCAAAUAAAAUACAACUUAAAUAAGUAUUAAUCAUACAUUUAACAUAAUGAACAUAAUCUUGCAUUUUAUUAAAUCUUUUAAACUCAUUCUUCAUAUAUAUAUUCAUAUUCUCACCACAAGUUCAUCAUAUCUCAUGACAUUCUCAUGAGUUCGAUGUACAUACCUGUGCCCACUUACACAUAAUAACUUACUUUCUCAUCUUCGACGUAUUCAUCAAGAUUACUUAUUGAACUUCCUUUAGAACUACCCGUUGAACACUAGGAAUAUCAUCGGAUACAUCGGAAUCUUGCACCUAAGUGCCUCAUAUGUAGCCAAUGCUACCUCAUAUCACAUAUCACAUGUUGCUCACUUUUGAGCUACUCACAGGUCUGCUCACAUAGGCUAUCGAGUAUUCGCAACACAUGUCGGACUACGCAGCCACCGGUAGAAUAUACGAGACCAGUACCUGGAUGCCAAAACAUGUGCCACAUACAUCAUGAACUCAGACCAUAACUCAAUAAGUUCAAAUGCCACAUAUAUCAUGAACUCAGACCACAACUCAAUGAGUUCAGAUCACAUAGUUCCUAGUGACAUGUCACUUGUAUCCUAAAAUAUUCCUAAGGUUCAAACGGGAUUCUUCAAUGCCAAAUUUCUGUCGUACUUGCUCGUAAUGUCGAUUUCAAUGCUCAUAGCACCAAUCAAAUACUCAUGGAAUAAUCAAAGCAUAAUUCAUAAUAAAAUUUAAGCAUUAACACAUGGCACAACAUCACAUUUAUUAUAUAUAUACUUACCAUAUGUAGUGGGCCAAAUUUACUCGACCCAUUAAAAAAAAAUAAAUAAAACCAAAUAUAUAGUCCAAGUCCCUUUAUUACAUCAGUCCAUCAGCCCAUUUUACAGUCCAAAACCUAAAAUUAAAUACAUAACCCAGGACCCAAUUAAAAUCCAUUAGCUAAAACCCUAGCCCAAAAUACCCGUGGUCCAAACGGCCCAAAACUAAAACAACUUCAGCUAAACAGAAACCUAGGGUUUCCCUAGUAGCCGCAACCCUCCAGCACUUCCCCCGUAUCCGCGCCAACACAGCCCCGUACGCCUCACGCCAAGGGCCAGCGCAUGCCCGUACUUUACCUGCAAGAAGGACAAACCACACAGCAACAACAAAACAACAAAAAGAAAAUUGUAUUUUUCUUUAUUGAUUAUUCGGCUAUAAAGCCUAUGAUUUCUAAUUGUAAAGGGGGCUUCUUUCUUUUACGAAAUACGAACGGGCACAAUAUAAGCAUAUUGAAAUAAAAAAAUUUCAAAAACAGUUCAAAAAGGUGAUUUUUUUUAGUUUUUCUUCUUCUCCGAUUUGGUCAUCAUUCUUUUCUUGCUUCUUGCCUUUCUAUUUGGUGUAUAAAGGUAAUAACGAAAGGAGGCUUACCUCCGUUGUUGGUUCCCUCAAAUCCUCACUCACUUCGUUGCGAUCGGAGUUUUGAGGAGGGGAUUCAAAAGCUUUUGAGCGAACCUCUGGACUCACGGUCGAAUAAGGCUGGGAUAGGCCUUGCAUGACGACUAUCGGCCGAACAUGGAGGCGAAAUGGUGACUGAGGGCUGCCUUUGGGUUUGGUCGAAAGAACUGGAAGAUAGGCAUCAGUUCUUUUUAUUUUGACUUAUUUUUUUUAAUGAUGAAUAACCAGUUUAGGGUUUUUUUACUUGGUUUAGUAUAGGAUUUGAAACGGCCCCGUUUUAGGGGGAGGGAACCCGCGC